RNAcentral lists this ribosomal RNA (298 nucleotides) under Oxyrrhis marina. RNAcentral describes it as "partial Bacterial large subunit ribosomal RNA". It matches the Rfam family "Bacterial large subunit ribosomal RNA", at positions 853 to 1150 of the family's 2925-position model. The record is from RNAcentral. Lineage: Eukaryota; Dinophyceae; Oxyrrhinales; Oxyrrhinaceae.
UUCUCCGCGAAAUCUAUUUAGGUAGAGCGUCAUGUAUCACUACUGGGGGUAGAGCACUGUCUCGGCUAGGGGGUCAUCCCGACUUACCAACCCGAUGCAAACUCCGAAUACCUGUGAGUACUAUCCGGGAGACACACGGCGGGUGCUAACGUCCGUCGUGGAAAGGGAAACAACCCAGACCGCCAGCUAAGGUCCCAAAAUCACAGUUAAGUGGGAAACGAUGUGGGAAGGCACAGACAGCUAGGAGGUUGGCUUAGAAGCAGCCAUCCUUUAAAGAAAGCGUAAUAGCUCACUAGUC